GCAGACCUCACUACCCUCUGGAUAGCCUUCCGGUUAUGGGCGGAGCAGCUGCCGUACCAGGCGGUGAUACAGCCCGACAGAAUGCUCUCGAUUGUGCAUCUGUGAAAGUUUGUGAGUGUUUUUGGUGACAAGCCAAAUUUCUUCAGCCUCCUGAGGUUGAAGAGGCGCUGCUGCGCCUUCUUCACCACGCUGUCUGUGUGGGUGGACCAUUUCAGUUUGUCCGUGAUGUGUACGCCGAGGAACUUAAAACUCUCCACCCUCUCCACUACGGUCCCGUCAAUGUAGAUAGGGGGCUGCUCCCGCUGCUGUUUCCUGAAGUCCACGAUCAUCUCCUUUGUUUUGUUGACAUUGAGUGAGGUUAUUUUCCUGACACCACACUCGGGAGUUAACCCCCAAGAACUGCUCCCCGGGCACUGAUUAUUUCGAUUAAGGUAACCCCCAGAAACCUCAGGGGUUGGGUUAAAUGUGGAAGACACAUUUUGGUUGAAUGCAUUCAGCUGUGCAACUGACUAAGUAUCCCUUUUCUUUUGUCCGUUUCUUUCUCUCAGAGAUUGCAUCAUUGUUGAAACCUGCUGGUUUGAUUCAUGAAUUUAGCUGGAAAGAAUCUAUAGGCUGGUUCACUGAGCACAACUAAUGAGUCAGAAAAUCCGAUUUUCCAAAGUUAUUUCAGUGUUAGCGUAGAGUCCAGGCGAUCAUUAGCGGUUGUCAGGGAGAGGAGUGAAUAGAGAGGGAGGGGGAAGCAGGGAUCACCAACAGACCGUGUUCUCUCCUGAGACUGUGUUUGCCCUUGCCUCUCACACAGGUGCACUGUACAUCAGCCCCUCCCUCCACCUCCAUCCGCGCCUGAGGUGUGAAAUGAACCCCCCCCACACUCCUAGUCACAGGGGUAACAUCUCUCUGAGACUGAACUCUUUUCUCUCUCUCUCUUUGGUGAACAAUACUCCUGUGAGGAGUAACCCUGACUGAGACCUGAAGGCUUGCUCUAGCUCCACAAGUUAAUAUCCACUGCAACAGCGUGUUAUUUUAACACCAUUUCAGUAGGACUACAAAUAGUGUACAUUUUAUACUUUCAGAGUUAAAUAUUUAACACUUUCAAAAGUGUUAUUUUAACACCAGUCCAGUGGGAGACAAAUGUUCACUGACAAUGUUGUACAUUUUACACUUUCAGAGUUAAAUGUACACUGUUGAUUUUGCUGUACACAGACACACCAUGGAAAAUAUGGAAGGGAGAAGCAGCCUGGCAGUCCUUGGGGGUGGAAAGGAUCUAUUAUAGGAACACUAAGGCCAAAUCCUACAAUCCCUCGCAGUAAUUCAAGUAUCAGAAUCAGAUAUCUGUCUUAUUCUGCCUCCCCAUCUCUCCCCCACUCAUCUUUUCCCAUUAAAUGCAACGUAUUGAUAUAAGAAUUAAUUGGUUGAUGCUCAUCUUUUCCCAUUGAAUGCAAUAUAUUGACAUACGCAUCAAUUGGUUGACACUUCUUUUUCCAUUGAAUGCAAUGUAUUGACAUACGCGUCAACCCUGCACUCUUAGAAUUAGCAGCGACUCGAAGGAAUACUGGAGAUCUUCAAGGAACCAUUGUUAGUCAAUGGUUCAUAUUUGCACCUGUGGUUAGUUGAGGUGUUCUUGGAGGAACCUUUAACCUUUUACUGCAGGGGCUAAAUCCGGGUCACACAGUGUGUUUCUUGGUAGUCUUAAACCAAUCUACUUUGAAACAAAAGUAUACACCUCACACACAUUGUUAUGGGCUUAAAGAAAGAAGACACAUGUCCCAUGUCAGAUAUAUAAUUGAAAUGUAUUCAAUUUUCAGUUUCUAUCCCAAUAUUAUACUUGAUAUACAUCACAGAAGACUGAAAUAUAGCAAAUCCGUUUGACAUAGAAACACCGGAUUUUCGGCUUGUUUUUUGAAAUAAUGUUUAUUAAUUAUGAAGUUAUGAAAAAUAUUAAUAACAUUCCACCCCUGAGGCCAUUAGGUCAUUUGACUGCAGGAAAUGGCUACUGGUUCAAUGUAGCAACAGGUUCCUCUGGAGUGGAGGUGUGGCUUAGUAGGGGCGUGGCUUCAAGAUAUAUAUUUUUUGGGGCAGCUGUUAAAGUAAAUGUCAUUCCUGUUCAUUGUAUUGUCAUCAUCUGUUCUGUUGUAUUGUCGUCACAUGUUAACGUGGCUAACAGAGGCGUUUGAGUUCCUCAAGAGCCUAUGCAAAUCCAACAUUUAUAAAAGUUACCACUUUAUUACCAUGUGAUCAGCAAUGUUAAUAUUAUUACUAUCACAUUAGAAUAUGUAAUAUGCAUAAAUAUUCAAGGAAUUUGCCAUGUACAAACUUAACAUGAUGAACAAGAAGGACAUUUAUGGUAACGCAUGACC
RNAcentral lists this long non-coding RNA (2357 nucleotides) under Salmo salar (Atlantic salmon). Its description in RNAcentral is "lncRNA (ENSSSAG00000121045.1)". Lineage: Eukaryota; Metazoa; Chordata; Actinopteri; Salmoniformes; Salmonidae. The record is from RNAcentral.